Molecule: ribosomal RNA, 484 nt
Filed under: uncultured bacterium
Lineage: Bacteria
Description: partial 16S ribosomal RNA
Rfam family: Bacterial small subunit ribosomal RNA
Source: RNAcentral
AUUGAACGCUGGCGGCAGGCCUAACACAUGCAAGUCGAGCGGAUGAAGGGAGCUUGCUCCUGGAUUCAGCGGCGGACGGGUGAGUAAUGCCUAGGAAUCUGCCUGGUAGUGGGGGAUAACGUCCGGAAACGGGAGCUAAUACCGCAUACGUCCUGAGGGAGAAAGUGGGGGAUCUUCGGACCUCACGCUAUCAGAUGAGCCUAGGUCGGAUUAGCUAGUUGGUGGGGUAAAGGCCUACCAAGGCGACGAUCCGUAACUGGUCUGAGAGGAUGAUCAGUCACACUGGAACUGAGACACGGUCCAGACUCCUACGGGAGGCAGCAGUGGGGAAUAUUGGACAAAGGGCGAAAGCCUGAUCCAGCCAUGCCGCGUGUGUGAAGAAGGUCUUCGGAUUGUAAAGCACUUUAAGUUGGGAGGAAGGGCAGUAAGUUAAUACCUUGCUGUUUUGACGUUACCAACAGAAUAAGCACCGGCUAACUUCGUG